Molecule: ribosomal RNA, 1715 nt
Filed under: Anoplostethus sp. A NLG-2014
Lineage: Eukaryota; Metazoa; Arthropoda; Insecta; Coleoptera; Scarabaeidae
Description: partial 16S ribosomal RNA
Rfam family: Archaeal large subunit ribosomal RNA (bases 1053-1715)
Source: RNAcentral
UAAACUAGGAUUAGAUACCCUAUUAUUAAAAAUGUAAAUUGUUCACCUGAGUAGUAAUAGUUAUGUUCUUGAAAUUUAAAGAAUUUGGCGGUAUUGUAGUCUAUUCAGAGGAACCUGUCCUGUAAUUGAUGGUCCACGUUUAAUUUAACUUGUUAAAUUAGUUUGUAUAUCGUCGUAGUUGGAAUGUUUUAUAAGAAAAUGUAAUGUUCAUGAUUUACUAAAGGUAAAGGAAAUCAGAUCAAGAUACAGCGUAUAGACAAGGAGAGAUGGGUUACAAUAAAUUUAUUUAUAUGGAAAAAUGAGCUAACACUAUUUGGAAAUUGGAUUUGAUAGUAAUAUGGUUGAGUUAAACUUUAUGAUUUAAGCUCUAUAAUAUGUACAUAUCGCCCGUCGCUCCCAUUCCAAAGUGGGAUAAGUCGUAACAAAGUAGGUGUACUGGAAAGUGUACCUAGAACGACAAAUUAGAGCUUGUUAAAAAGCAUUUUAUUUACAUUAAAAAGUUAGUUGUGAAAUUCAACUUAGUUUGAAAGUCAAGGACUUAUUUAUAUAACGGUAGAUAAAGUAUUAUUUUUAUUAGUAUUUUUUUGAAUGUGAGUUUUCAUGUAAUAGUUAAGUAGUACAGUGAUGGAAUGUAUAAUAGAAUAGAUUUAAUUUUUGAUAAGAAGAUUUAGUUUAUUGUACCUUGUGUAUCAGGGUUUAUUAAAAUAAGCUUGCUAUGAGGUUUUCUCGAAUUGGAAAGAGCUAUCACUGUAUAUAUUUAAUUGUAGUAUAAAUUUUUAUAAUAUAGUGUUGGUAGUGAAACGUUAUACGUUUUUUAAGAUAUCUAGUUUCUUAAGAAAUAAAUUCAAUUUAGUUUACUACUUUAAUGAUAUUAAUUUUUUAAUUAUGUUAAGUAGUAAGGAAAUACUAUGAGGGAUAAGCUUCAUGGUAAAUUAUUAUAGUGUUUUGGUUACUGAAAAGUUGGUAGGAUUGGAAUUGUCUAACAAUAGGAUGUUAUAAUAAACUUUUUUUUAAAUAAGAUUUUUAUUUGACUUAAGUUAUUUAUUAAGAUAAUAUUUUGAAUGUAAUUUGGUAUGUAACAAUGAUAGAAUUAGUAUAUAUGUAUGUAUAAUUUUGUUAAAAUUCAAGGUUAAGUUAAGGAAUUCGGCAAAAUAGUUUUCCGCCUGUUUAUUAAAAACAUGUCUUUUUGAUUAUAAUUUAAAGUCUGACCUGCCCAAUGAGUAGUUGAAUGGCCGCGGUAAUUUGACCGUGCAAAGGUAGCAUAAUCAUUAGUUUUUUAAUUGAAAGCUGGAAUGAACGGUUGAACGAGAAAAUGACUGUCUCAAUUUAAUUAUUAUUAGAACUUUAUCUUUGAGUAAAAAAGCUCAAAUUUCUUUAAAAGACGAGAAGACCCUAUAGAAUUUUAUAUUAGUGUAUAUAUUAUAUUAUAUAGUAUCUUUACAUUUAUAUGUACACAUAUAUUUUGUUGGGGCGACAAAAAAAUUAGCAUAACUUUUUUUAAAUUAACACAUAGAUUUAUGGUUGUUUGAUCCAUUUAGUAUGAUUAUAAGAUUAAAUUACCUUAGGGAUAACAGCGUUAUUUUUUUUGAGAGUUCUUAUCGAUAAGAGAGUUUGCGACCUCGAUGUUGGAUUAAAAUUAACUUUUGGUGUAGGGGCUAAAUGGUUAGGUCUGUUCGACCUUUAAAAUUUUACAUGAUCUGAGUUCAAACCGGAGA